CCCCCGCGGUUUGUCAGGGAUCCGCAGGUCCCGGAAAGCCCUUCGUCUCACCCGGGAUCCACCUCCCUUUCAUUCUCCCUGCCGGCCUCCUCACCCCACGCCCUGCCCUUGGAGAAACCCGCUCCUCCUCGCUGUCUGCCGGGGUUCGGAGUGACACCGCAGAGCCAGAGGCGUGGGAGCUGCGCCGCUGCGCACUGGUCCGCCCGCCCCCCUGCCUGGUCUUCUGGAGCUGAGGACUCGGGGAACCAUGGAAUUGAGGCGAGCCUUGGGCUGCCUUAGAGGCGCUGACAUCCAAGGAGACUUCUCCUGGGACUGAAUGAACAAUGUUUGGGAGAAGCAGAAGAGAAGGGCAUAGAGCAGCCAGGCAGGGCCAGGCACUGGGAGGGGGGUCCAGCUCUGAGGCCUCCCCACACCUAUCUUCUUGGAAGGAACUGUAUGUCGCUGAAGAAAAGUUGAAAAAUGAAAAAGAAUAACCUUUUCCCUUUCCCCAUCCAGGAAAUAGCCGAAGGAGGCCCAACAGCCAAGCUGAGCCCACCCGGCUCAAGAGAAUACCCGACGGCGGCGGGGGGGGCGGCUAAGGCUGCCCUGGAAGGCCAAGUGCGAGUUGCAUUUUUGAAGAGUCCAAGAUGGGCAUGGCUGUGACAUUGGCCCUGGAGACUGGUUUUCCAUGAGUUGUUCUUUCUCAGGAGCUCCACGGUGUGAGGCCAUCUCCAGAAAAGUCUUCAGCGUGUAUUUCCUUUUAUCGUCAACCCGGAGCCCCAUGGCAGCUAAUGCAAGAGGCCAAAAAUGUUUUGGAGGAAGAAAAACAAAGGCAGGAAGUGGCGGCGGCUUGACGGUGCGUGUGUGUCUGCGGAGAAGGGAGGGAGCCAUUUCAAUCUCUUCUUGUUUUUCCAAACUUCAGGGUCCAGGCAGCCCUCGCAGGGCCGACCCGUUGCUCCCCGCGCAGCAUUUGGAGAUGGCCACCCGGAGAGGAGAAGGCUGGCGCCGGAGCCAGCCUUGUCAGGCGGAAACGGCUAACGAGGCGAUUUGCUCAGCAAAGCAGACCAAGCCUUUCCAAACUUCAUUUGAUUUGGCCCUAAAAGUGGGGGGUUGGGGGAUUCGGAAACACCUCCCGGACCCUCCUUGGCGGGCGGGCUGAGUGCUCCGUAGCGGGGAUUCGGGAGCCCUGCACUCCACGCGCCUUCCCAGGCGGGAUAUGGGAAUAAAGUGUGUCCAGAUGCCUCUGCCCAGCA
Delphinapterus leucas (beluga whale) is the source of this 1232-nucleotide non-coding RNA. NCBI's taxonomy places the organism in Eukaryota, Metazoa, Chordata, Mammalia, Artiodactyla, Monodontidae. The record is from RefSeq and is a predicted model, not a curated record.